GCCUACGUGAGACAUCCAAGUUUAGACAAUCCAGUGACAGUCGGCUCACCUGUAUGAGUUUUACUCUUGCCACAGCUUUUGCUACAAACUUCACCAGUAACAAAACAACAUUGUGAAUGGGAAACAAAAUGAAUUUUUGAUCCAGACUAAUGAAGUUCAUGAGUUGAGGUUGAAAAUGUUCUGCCACACAUCUUGUUCUUAUUCGCUCACCGGAAAUUCAGACUUCUUAUUAAAUGACACCAAGUGCUGGAGUAACUCAGCAGGUCACACAGCAUAUCUGGAGAACAUGGACAGGUAGUCGACUGUUGGGUCAGGACCAUUCUUCAGACCCCUUAUUACUGGAUUGACCUUGUGCUAUGUAAUAAAUAAUUCUUAUUGCUAGUCACACAUCCCUCCAUAGUCUCAGCCUCCAUAACAUUCUCCUCUUCCAUAACUACUUGCACUUCAUCCAUUCUGUCACUCCGACACUGGUGGCUAUGCCUUCAGCUGCUUGGACCCUGGCCUCUAGAAAUCCCUCCCUUAGCCUCUUCACCUCUCUCUCAUACUUCAAGACACCCAUCUAAAGCAUGCUAAUUUAACCAGACUUUGGUAAACUGAACUAAUACUUUCUCAGUUGAUCCAGAGCUGCAAUUUGUUUGGAAAUACUCCUUUGAUGUGCCUUUUGUAAAACUAGAGAUAAUGUUAACUAUAAAUGCAAGCUGUUUUUGCAUUUACAUAAGUAAUUUAUACUAAUGAACACUAAUGGUGAUGUGCUAAUAUUACUCGUACUUUAACCUUUUGCAAUUGUUCUCCCCUUCAAUUCUCUCUACAUUUGUUUUGUUGCUUCACAGCCAAAGGUGAUUGCAUCUUCACAUGAAUAAAAUGGAACACAUUUACAGGAGAAUAUCAAUAAAGUGAGAGAAAAAUGGGUUUCAUUUUAUUCCAGUAAAGUUCAUGUAAAUUCAUUCCACUUAUCUGGCAGACACGAUUAUCUAGGUAAAUUUAUUCUAAGCAGAACUCAACGGGGGUUGAUUGGUUCAAAUUCAGAUUAAUUUGCAUUAGAGUUUCUUUGCUUUAAUAGAAUGAAAAGUAAAAAAAAUGUAAUGGACAAGAAUAGUGUAAAUUGGGCAUCGCAGUCGAGUUGGGCCAAAGGGCCUAUUUCAUGCUGAAUGGCUUCAUAACAUCACCAGUGCCACAUCAGGAUACACUUUUCAUUCAAGUGGUAUGGCCUUCUGCGCAGUCUCAAAAUCCACUUUCCAUUGCUGAUAUGUCAGCCUCCUGCCUCAUUGAGGAGAGCCAAGGUCAGUGGAGUUGACGAGCCCAUCUUGAAACUUGAGCCCCAAAAUCUGGGCUGUUACUAAGGUACAGGAGUGAGGGAGCUUCUGCACCGUUUGACAUUGUAUCUAUCAAGUGAGCUGCUAGAAUUAGGUUCUGAAUGCUGUCUCAUAGCGGGGGAAAUGGCACCAUGGGUGGUACAUUGGUGCAAGUCUGCAAGCUGCACCCACGCCACUCCAGAGACCCAAGUUCAAUCCUGACCUCAAGUGCUGUCACUGGAGUUUGCAUGUCCACCCUGUGACAAGUCAAAAUGUAAAAACAAUAAACUGUAGAUGCUGGUUUAUGCAAAAAUACACAAAGUGCUGGAGUCACUCAGUGGGUCAGGCAGCAUCUCUGGAAAACAUGGAUGUGACAUUUCAGGUCAGGACCCUUGAUCAGUCUGAAGAAAGAUCCCGACCCGAAACAUCACAAUCCAUGUUUUCCAGAGAUGUUCCCUGACCUGCUGAGUUACUCCAGCACUUUGUGACCAUUUGGGUUUCCCUUGUGUACUCUGGUUUCUUCUUGCAUUGCAAAGACAUGCAGUUUGCCAGGUUAAUUAGUGGUAUAAAUUACCUGUAAUGUGGGAAGAUGAAAAAAAAUGUGUGGAGAAUGUUAUUAUUGUAAAUUGGUGUGUGUUAGACAGUGAGGACUUAAUGAGGCAAGGACCUGUUUGUAUCUCAAUGAGCAUGUCAUAGAAGAGCAGGAGAGACCCCACAAUGCCAGCCAAUAUUUAUCGCUCACUCAGCAUCACUGCAAGACGUGCUGAGACAUGCACAGAACAUCAGCCCAGCCUCUGCCUCCGAACCAGUUCUGCAAUCUGUCAGCACCAUCCCACUCUGCUUCUGAAAGUCACUGAAGCCAACAUAUUGAAUUUCAGAGGCAGACUACAAAGUACUGACACAACCUCACAGUGCCCUUGGUGCUACUGAUCAGUAAUUAAUUUCUCAGCAACAAUCUCCAGCGCCCACUUCCCUGCGGAAAUCAGAUUGACAGUGAGAGAAAAUCUCUCUGGUCUAAUUAAUCUGUCCUAUUCAGUAGCUUGAGAUGCAGAUAUUCCCCUCUCAUCUACAGCCGCAACCUCUCCUGGGAAAGAUGAGAAGAAAAUUAAUUAAUUCCGUGGUCAAUUUGCGAAUUUUAAAAAAAUCUGGAAAUUUGGAUGACUGAAGCCAGGUGAUUAGCUCCCUAGCAUCAGACAUAGUGUCAGAUCGAAGCAACAUCUCAGCCUUUGGGAACUGACUCCCUUCUUGAUUCACAGCCUGAUUAAUUUUGCAUGUCGUUUCUUUCCUGACAAUGAAAACAAACUUCAACAGGGUUAAUAUUGUUGUAGUUAGAAUAAUUCCCAAUUCAGACAAGUUCAGGCACGAGUCCUGUUCCUAGCUCACAUCACAGGGGAUGGGACAUGACUGCUGGUGACAUGAAGUACAUUUCUUAAGUUUGUUUUCUGUUCAGCUCCUGUGGUGAUAUGUUACAGGUGCCUAAUGGUAAAAUAAAUUAGUUCCAACAAGCAUAAUUUCUGGUUCUUG
This is a long non-coding RNA of Leucoraja erinaceus (little skate), 2816 nucleotides long. RefSeq lists it as uncharacterized. The transcript has 3 exons. The record is from RefSeq and is a predicted model, not a curated record. NCBI's taxonomy places the organism in Eukaryota, Metazoa, Chordata, Chondrichthyes, Rajiformes, Rajidae.